This 497-nucleotide ribosomal RNA is filed under the name uncultured bacterium. RNAcentral's name for it is "partial 16S ribosomal RNA". It matches the Rfam family "Bacterial small subunit ribosomal RNA", at positions 28 to 507 of the family's 1533-position model. The record is from RNAcentral.
GACGAGCGCUGGCGGCGUGCCUAAUACAUGCAAGUUGAGCGAUGAAGAUUGGUGCUUGCACCAAUUUGAAGAGCAGCGAACGGGUGAGUAACGCGUGGGGAAUCUGCCUUUGAGCGGGGGACAACAUUUGGAAACGAAUGCUAAUACCGCAUAACAACUUUAAACAUAAGUUUUAAGUUUGAAAGAUGCAAUUGCAUCACUCAAAGAUGAUCCCGCGUUGUAUUAGCUAGUUGGUGAGGUAAAGGCCCGCCAAGGCGAUGAUACAUAGCCGACCUGAGAGGGUGGUCGGCCACAUUGGGACUGGGACACGGCCCCAACUCCUACGGGAGGCAGCCGUAGGGAAUCUUCGGCCAUGGACGAAAGUCUGACCGAGCACCGCCGCGUGAGUGAAGAAGGUUUUCGGAUCGUAAAACUCUGUUGGUAGAGAAGAACGUUGGUGAGAGUGGAAAGCUCAUCAAGUGACGGUAACUACCCAGAAAGGGACGGCUAACUACGUG